CAAAUAAUAAGUUUGUAUAUACGUGCUUGUAUUGAAAUAAAGUAUCCAUUAUGUUUUAAUCAUUUUUAUACCAUAUUAAAAAACAAAGUCAAAUUUUCACAUGUUAAACGGCGCCAUUUUGAAUAUUGCCGCCAUUUUGAAAAUAUCAUUAAUGUACCUAGGUAUUAAUUAUACAUUUUAGGCUUUUGUCUAUAUCAAUUGAUCAGUUUCACAGCUUUAGUAACUUGCUAUCACACAAUGGUGGUGUAUACAUACGAAUACUCUCAAACUUAGACAUUUUGACGCGCCAUUUUGAAGUUGGACGCCAUUUUGAUGAUUUCUGUACUAUAAGGUUCAAAAAAAUAAUAAAUGACAUAUAUUUUAAUUGUAUUUCCUUACGUUUGUGAUAUCUUCUGAACUCAUUAGAAUUGGCAGACUUCAUCAAGUGAAUGAUGUUAUACUUGUGUCGGCCAUCUUGAAUUUGUCGGCCAUAUUCGAUUUUUUUUCGAGGCUCCAUAUCUGAAUUUUGUCUUUACCCUUUAAUCUUUCACUAUGCCAAGUUGCAUGCUUUGACCAUAAAAUGAUCAAUUAUUCUGAUAUCCGCUGGACUAUAGGAAUACACAAACAGAUGACCAAUUCUUACGUCAAAAUGGUUUAAAUUGUUAAAAUAAAAACGCUUGGUAGUGUUAUUAGGAAAACUUGAAAUUUGUGUCUUUAAAUUUGAUAUCAGUGGUCUGUCCUCAAAAGCUUGACAUAUAUUCCUCAUAACAAAAGAAGGAUACUCAAUGUACAUGUACUAACGUUGGUUCAAUCGGAACAUGAUUAAGAAAAAUGAACCAGUCCAUUCUCCAUUUGAGAUAAAAAAAAAAAAAAAAAAAAAAAUCACAGCAAAGCUACAUAUUCUAGAACAAGUUCAAUGUGGAUAUUAUUAAUUUUUCCUGCCAAUAGGCGCUAUACAAAACAAUUCUUACAAAUAGAAUACUAAUUAACGUAAACAUGUAAUAUACACGUUCACACAUUGUUCUGAUCCCCGCACAUAUAUCUACAUUCACAGAUGAUGCGUACUUGUUUAUGUCAUACCAAUGUUGGAGAUCAAGUUUAAGAAAGUGAUAGAGAAUUUUAAGUGUUAUGUAUGAAGCCUAUACGACAAUUAUUCAAUAAACAAAUGAUAAACACG
This 1156-nucleotide long non-coding RNA is filed under the name Mytilus galloprovincialis (Mediterranean mussel). Lineage: Eukaryota; Metazoa; Mollusca; Bivalvia; Mytilida; Mytilidae. The record is from RNAcentral.